Molecule: ribosomal RNA, 301 nt
Filed under: uncultured bacterium
Lineage: Bacteria
Description: partial 16S ribosomal RNA
Rfam family: Bacterial small subunit ribosomal RNA
Source: RNAcentral
CAGUCGCCACGGGAAUACGUAGGUGGCAAGCGUUGUCCGGAAUUAUUGGGCGUAAAGGGCUCGCAGGCGGUUUCUUAAGUCUGAUGUGAAAGCCCCCGGCUCAACCGGGGAGGGUCAUUGGAAACUGGGAAACUUGAGUGCAGAAGAGGAGAGUGGAAUUCCACGCGUAGCGGUGAAAUGCGUAGGGAUGUGGAGGAACACCAGUGGCGAAGGCGACUCUCUGGUCUGUAACUGACGCUGAGGAGCGAAAGCGUGGGGAGCGAACAGGAUUAGAUACCCCUGUAGUCCCUGUCUCUUAUAC